RNAcentral lists this ribosomal RNA (329 nucleotides) under uncultured Glomeromycotina. RNAcentral's name for it is "SSU rRNA". It matches the Rfam family "Eukaryotic small subunit ribosomal RNA", at positions 569 to 907 of the family's 1831-position model. Lineage: Eukaryota; Fungi; Glomeromycota. The record is from RNAcentral.
AGCAGCCGCGGUAAUUCCAGCUCCAAUAGCGUAUAUUAAAGUUGUUGCAGUUAAAAGCUCGUAGUUGAAUUUCGGGAUCAAGGAAUCGGUCAUGCCUCGGUAUGUACUGGUUUUAUUGGUUCUCACCUUCUAAAGAACCAUAAUGUCAUUCAUUUGAUGUUAUGGGGAAUUAGGACUGUUACCUUGAAAAAUUAGAGUGUUUAAAGCAGGCUUACGCUUGAAUACAUUAGCAUGGGAUAAUGAAAUAGGACAUCAGAUUCUAUUUUGUUGGUUCUAGGAUCGAUGUAAUGAUUAAUAGGGAUAGUUGGGGCAUUAGUAUUCAAUUUGUC